GAUGAACGCUAGCGGGAGGCCUAACACAUGCAAGCCGAGCGGUAUAGAAUCUUCGGAUUUUAGAGAGCGGCGUACGGGUGCGGAACACGUGUGCAACCUACCUUUAUCUUGGGGAUAGCCUUUCGAAAGGAAGAUUAAUACCCGAUAAUAUAUAAUAUGGCAUCAUAACAUAUUGAAAGCUCCGGCGGAUAGAGAUGGGCACGCGCAAGAUUAGUUAGUUGGUGAGGUAACGGCUCACCAAGACGAUGAUCUUUAGGGGCCUGAGAGGUGAUCCCCCACACUGGUACUGAGACACGGACCAGACUCCUACGGGAGGCAGCAGUGAGGAAUAUUGGACAAUGGGUGCAAGCCUGAUCCAGCCAUCCCGCGUGAAGGACGACUGCCCCUAUGGGUUGUAAACUUCUUUGUAUAGGGAUAAACCUCUCCUCGUGAGGAGAGCUGAAGGUACUAUACGAAUAAGCAACCCGGCUAACUCCGUGCCAGCAGCCGCGGUAAU
This 496-nucleotide ribosomal RNA is filed under the name uncultured bacterium. RNAcentral describes it as "bacterial SSU rRNA". It matches the Rfam family "Bacterial small subunit ribosomal RNA", at positions 28 to 524 of the family's 1533-position model. The record is from RNAcentral.